Molecule: ribosomal RNA, 253 nt
Filed under: uncultured bacterium
Lineage: Bacteria
Description: partial 16S ribosomal RNA
Rfam family: Bacterial small subunit ribosomal RNA
Source: RNAcentral
UACAGAGGGGGCAAGCGUUAUUCGGAAUUAUUGGGCGUAACGGGCGCGUAGGCGGCUUGGCAAGUGGCUGGUGAAAUCCCUCGGCUUAACCGAGGAACUGCCGUCCAAACUGCUUUGCUUGAGGCCGGGAGAGGCGAGUGGAAUUCCCAGUGUAGCGGUGAAAUGCGUAGAUAUUGGGAGGAACACCAGUGGCGAAGGCGGCUCGCUGGACCGGUUCUGACGCUGAUGCGCGAAAGCGUGGGGAGCAAACGGG